UGAGGAAUAUUGGUCAAUGGAUGGAAAUCUGAACCAGCCAAGUAGCGUGCAGGAUGACGGCCCUAUGGGUUGUAAACUGCUUUUAUGUGAGAAUAAAGUUAGGUAUGUAUACUUAUUUGCAUGUAUCACAUGAAUAAGGACCGGCUAAUUCCGUGCCAGCAGCCGCGGUAAUACGGAAGGUCCAGGCGUUAUCCGGAUUUAUUGGGUUUAAAGGGUGCGUAGGCCGUUUGAUAAGCGUGCUGUGAAAUAUAGUGGCUCAACCUCUAUCGUGCAGCGCGAACUGUUGAACUUGAGUGCGUAGUAGGUAGGCGGAAUUCGUGGUGUAGCGGUGAAAUGCUUAGAUAUCACGAAGAACUCCGAUUGCGAAGGCAGCUUACCGUAACGUUACUGACGCUUAAGCACGAAGGUGCGGGUAUCGAACAGGAUUAGAUACCCUGGUAGUCCGCACAGUAAACGAUGGAUGCUCGCUGUUGGCCUUUGUGGUCAGUGGCUUAGCGAAAGCGUUAAGCAUCCCACCUGGGGAGUACGCCGGCAACGGU
This 539-nucleotide ribosomal RNA is filed under the name uncultured bacterium. Its description in RNAcentral is "bacterial SSU rRNA". It matches the Rfam family "Bacterial small subunit ribosomal RNA", at positions 355 to 895 of the family's 1533-position model. The record is from RNAcentral.